GGCGGUGUAGCUCAGCUGGUUAGAGCGUACGGCUCAUACCCGUAUUGUCAGUGGUUCGAGUCCACUCACCGCUA
This 74-nucleotide transfer RNA is filed under the name Candidatus Kaelpia aquatica. RNAcentral describes it as "tRNA-Met". It matches the Rfam family "tRNA". Rfam says of the family: Transfer RNA (tRNA) molecules are approximately 80 nucleotides in length. Their secondary structure includes four short double-helical elements and three loops (D, anti-codon, and T loops). The record is from RNAcentral. Lineage: Bacteria; Pseudomonadati; Candidatus Omnitrophota.